UACGGGGGGGGCAAGCGUUGUUCGGAAUUACUGGGCGUAAAGGGCUCGUAGGCUGCCAACUAAGUCCGACGUGAAAUCCCUCGGCUUAACCGGGGAACUGCGUCCGAUACUGGAUGGCUUGAGUUUGGGAGAGGGAUGCGGAAUUCCAGGUGUAGCGGUGAAAUGCGUAGAUAUCUGGAGGAACACCGGUGGCGAAGGCGGCAUCCUGGACCAACACUGACGCUGAUGAGCGAAAGCCAGGGGAGCAAACGGG
Molecule: ribosomal RNA, 253 nt
Filed under: uncultured bacterium
Lineage: Bacteria
Description: partial 16S ribosomal RNA
Rfam family: Bacterial small subunit ribosomal RNA
Source: RNAcentral